UACGUAGGUGUCAAGCGUUGUCCGGAUUUAUUGGGCGUAAAGCGUCCGCAGGUGGACAUACAAGUCUGCUGUCAAAGUGCAGAGCUUAACUCUGCAAAGGCGGUGGAAACUGUAGGUCUUGAGUAUGGUAGGGGUAGAGGGAAUUCCCGGUGUAGCGGUGAAAUGCGUAGAUAUCGGGAAGAACACCAGUGGCGAAAGCGCUCUACUGGGCCAUAACUGACACUGAGGGACGAAAGCUAGGGGAGCGAAAGGG
RNAcentral lists this ribosomal RNA (253 nucleotides) under uncultured bacterium. RNAcentral's name for it is "partial 16S ribosomal RNA". It matches the Rfam family "Bacterial small subunit ribosomal RNA", at positions 524 to 776 of the family's 1533-position model. The record is from RNAcentral.